Molecule: long non-coding RNA, 746 nt
Filed under: Equus caballus (horse)
Lineage: Eukaryota; Metazoa; Chordata; Mammalia; Perissodactyla; Equidae
Description: lncRNA (ENSECAG00000050236.1)
Source: RNAcentral
UACGGGGAAUUGCUUCAUCGGCUUGUGAGCUCGAGUUCUGGUAAGUGCCCUUUUCUUCCUUGUGCCUUUCUCUUUUUCAAGGAUGGAUCUAGAUUCACUGCUCCAUCGGGAACUUUCUUGGAUGGCUGUAUGAAUCCACGUUUGCUGCCCAUGGCUACUCUAUGGGGCAAAUUGUGGCAUUCAGCUUGAAGAGAAUCAGUACCUUAAGCCUCAGGGUGAUGGAGAAUGAAUUAAUCCAUUCCUUCCUGACUCUAUCUCUAAUAGACAAAUUUUACGUGGGCGCGGGUCAGCCAGUUAAGUCAUUAGGACGGCCGCCAAUCUCCGAGACUCCCGUGGAAGGUUUCUUUUCCUAAGGCUGGAUUGGGAUCCCUCCCUCUGGCACCUGACCACGCUCUGAACUGCGAGGAAAGUCCCACUCGGGACUCCAGUUCAGGGGAAGUACCAAACUCUAACCAUUGGUGGAGUAUGGGAACCCCUUCUUGGGAGAAUGGCUCCAGGAUGCAAUUGGGUAGAAUGUCCCCCAGACUGGCGGAAAAUUCCUCACUGUCUUUCUCUUUCUCACUGUCUUUGUCCUUUUCUCUCCUGGGGACCAUACGCCAGGCACCUAUUACUGUCAGGUAAUGGCUCCCUUUCUCUGGGACCAUUCACCAGUCACCUAUUCCUGCCAGGCAGAAUAGGGAAGAUGUUCAAGGGAUGCCCCCAUCAUCCCUUGCUACAGGAACCCCAAUGGGGGGAUUUUCAAGGUA